This 1944-nucleotide ribosomal RNA is filed under the name Bacteroidia bacterium. Its description in RNAcentral is "partial 23S ribosomal RNA". It matches the Rfam family "Bacterial large subunit ribosomal RNA", at positions 1 to 1973 of the family's 2925-position model. Lineage: Bacteria; Pseudomonadati; Bacteroidota; Bacteroidia. The record is from RNAcentral.
UUAAAAGUAAAUAAGGGCGCAUGGUGAAUGCCUAGGCUCUCAGAGGCGAUGAAGGACGUGAUAAGCUGCGAUAAGCUGCGGGUAUUGGCAAAUACGAAUCGAUCCGCAGAUUUCCGAAUGGGGAAACCCGUUAUGUUGAUGACAUAACACAUAUGAGCAAACCCGGAGAACUGAAACAUCUAAGUACCCGGAGGAAGAGAAAACAACAGUGAUUCCCUAAGUAGUGGCGAGCGAACAGGGAUUAGCCCAAACCAUUAUUGUUAAGGCAAAAAUGGGGUUGUAGGACUGAAACAUUUAUGUAUAUCCAAGUAGAAUCAGAUGGAAUUAUGAACUAUAAAGGGUGAGAGUCCCGUAUACGUCAAAAUAUACAUAAUAUCAGUAUCCUGAGUACCGCGAGGUCGGAGACGCCUUGUGGGAAUCCAGCGGCACCAUCCGCUAAGGCUAAAUACUCCUGAGAGACCGAUAGUGAACCAGUACCGUGAGGGAAAGGUGAAAAGAACCUCGAACAGAGGAGUGAAAUAGAACCUGAAACCAUGCGCUUACAAGCGGUUGGAGUCCUUCGGGAUGACAGCGUGCCUUUUGCAUAAUGAACCUACGAGUUACUCCUCACUAGCAAGGUUAAAGAUUUAAGAUCUGCAGCCGAAGCGAAAGCAAGUCUGAAUAGGGCGUAUAGUUAGUGGGGGUAGACGCGAAACCUUGUGAUCUACCCUUGGCCAGGUUGAAGUGACGGUAACACGUCAUGGAGGACCGAACUGAUAAGCGUUGAAAAGCUUCCGGAUGAGUUGAGGGUAGGGGUGAAAGGCUAAUCAAACUGGGAAAUAGCUCGUACUCCCCGAAAUGUUUUUAGGAACAGCCUCGAGCGAAUUGUCAUAGAGGUAGAGCUACUAAUUGGGCUAGGGGGCUUCACCGCCUACCAAACCCAGAUAAACUCCGAAUGCUAUUGACAUAUACUCGGGAGUGAGGCUUGGGGUGCUAAGGUCCCAAGCCGAGAGGGAAAGAACCCAGACCAACAGCUAAGGUCCCUAAAUCUAUUCUAAGUUGAUCAAACGUGGUCCAAUUGCAUUGACAGCUAGGAUGUUGGCUUGGAAGCAGCCAUUCAUUUAAAGAGUGCGUAACAGCUCACUAGUCGAGCGAUCGGGCGUGGAUAAUAAUCGGGCAUUAAGAAUAGUACCGAAGCUUUGGAUAUUUGACUCUGUCAAAUCUGGUAGGGGAGCAUUCUAAUCUGCAUUGAAGGUGAGUCGUAAGGCUUGCUGGAGCGAUUAGAAAAGCAAAUGUAGGUAUAAGUAACGAUAAUGGGGGUGAGAAACCCCCACACCGUAAGACUAAGGUUUCCUGAUCAACGUUAAUCGGAUCAGGGUCAGUCGGGGCCUAAGAAUAAUCCGAAAGGAAAUGUCGAUGGAUAACAGGUUAAUAUUCCUGUACUUGUAUUUUCAGUGAUGGAGCUACGGAGUAGUGAAAGGUCUGCGCACGGACGGAUGUGUGCGUUAAAGCCGGUAGAUAUAAUUGUUGCAGGUAAAUCCACAACGAUUGUCGAUGGUGAUAGUACCGUGAGCCCUCGGGCAAGCGGAUAAGGACCCUAAUCAUGCUUCCAAGAAAAACUUCUAAACUUAUGGAAAUACAACUCGUACCGUAAACCGACACAGGUAGUCGAGGAGAGAAUCCUCAGGUGCUCGAGUGAAUCAUGGCUAAGGAACUCGGCAAAUUAACUCUGUAACUUCGGGAUAAAGAGUGCCCCUCUCGGGGGGCCGCAGUGAAAUGGCUCAGGCGACUGUUUAACAAAAACACAUGGCUUUGCUAAAUCGAAAGAUUACGUAUAAGGCCUGACACCUGCCCGGUGCUGGAAGGUUAAGAGGAGAUGUCAGAAGCAAUUCAAAGCAUUGAAUCGAAGCCCCAGUAAACGGCGGCCGUAACUAUAACGGUCCUAAGGUAGCGAAAUUCCUUGUC